This 400-nucleotide ribosomal RNA is filed under the name uncultured bacterium. RNAcentral describes it as "bacterial SSU rRNA". It matches the Rfam family "Bacterial small subunit ribosomal RNA", at positions 355 to 753 of the family's 1533-position model. The record is from RNAcentral.
UAGGGAAUAUUGGACAAUGGGUGCGAGCCUGAUCCAGCCAUGCCGCGUGCAGGAAGAAGGCCUUCUGGGUUGUAAACUGCUUUUAUCUGGGGAUAAAAAGAGCGUGCGCGCUCAAUUGAAGGUACCAGAGGAAUAAGCCACGGCUAACUACGUGCCAGCAGCCGCGGUAAUACGUAGGUGGCAAGCGUUGUCCGGAUUUAUUGGGUUUAAAGGGUGCGUAGGCGGCUUUGUAAGUCAGCAGUGAAAUACGCCAGCUUAACUGGAGAGGUGCUGUUGAUACUGCGGAGCUUGAGUACUGAUGAGGUAGGCGGAAUGGACGGUGUAGCGGUGAAAUGCAUAGAUAUCGUCCAGAACACCGAUAGCGAAGGCAGCUUACUAAGGAGUAACUGACGCUGAGGCA